AGAGCGCAAGGGGAAUGCCUUGGCAUCAGGAGCCGACGAAGGACGUGACAAGCUGCGAUAAGCUUCGGGGAGGAGCAAAUAUCCUAUGAUCCGGAGAUUUCCGAAUGGGGAAACCCACUGGAGCAAUACUCCAGUAACGUGCAUUGAAUCAAAUAGGUGUACGUGGGGAACCGCCUGAACUGAAACAUCUAAGUAGGGCGAGGAAAAGACAUCAACCGAGAUUCCGCUAGUAGUGGCGAGCGAACGCGGAGGAGGCCAAACCGAGGGACGCAAGUUCUUCGGGGUUGCGGACAGACAUCAUGACCAGAGGAAAUUAAGAGAACGGCGUGGGAAAGCCGGCCACAGAAGGUGAGAGCCCUGUAUCUGAAAAUGAAGACUGGCAGUCUGGAUCCAGAGUACCGCGGGACACGUGAAACCCCGUGGGAAACCGGGUGGACCACCAUCCAAGCCUAAAUACUACCUGAUGACCGAUAGAGGAGCAGUACCGUGAGGGAAAGGUGAAAAGGACCCCGGGAGGGGAGUGAAAGAGAACCUGAAACCUUGUGCUUACAAGCACUCAAAGCACGUUAAGGUGUGAUGAGGUACUUUUUGUAGAACGGUCCGGCGAGUUAUAGUAACGAGCAAGCUUAAGGUAUUGAGUACCGGAGGCGAAGCGAGAGCGAGUCUGAAUAGGGCGUAAAGUUCGUUGCCAUAGACCCGAAACCGGGUGACCUAUCCAUGAGCAGGCUGAAGUGAGAGUAAAAUCUCAUGGAGGGCCGAACCGACCCCCGUUGCAAUGGUGGCGGAUGACUUGUGGAUAGCGGAGAAAUUCCAAUCGAACUCGGAGAUAGCUGGUUCUCCCCGAAAUAGCUUUAGGGCUAGCGUUAUGUUAGAUUACCGGAGGUAAAGCACUGAAUGGUGGCGGGGCCGAUAAGGUUACCAAGACCUAUCAAACUCUGAAUGCCGGAUAAUUGAUGCAUAGCAGUCAGACAGCGUGAGAUAAGUUUCGUUGUCAAAAGGGAAACAGCCCAGACCCACAGCUAAGGUCCCAAAUUCAUGCUAAGUGGAAAACGAUGUGGAAUUGCGAAAACAACCAGGAUGUUGGCUUAGAAGCAGCCACUCAUUAAAAGAGUGCGUAAUAGCUCACUGGUCGAGUGACUCUGCGCGGAAAAUAUAACGGGGCUAAGCAUGCAACCGAAGCUUGGGAUUGUCUAAAGACAGUGGUAGGGGAGCGUCGUGUAUGGGGUGAAGUCGCAUCGGAAGGAGCGGUGGACUGUACACGAGUGAGAAUGCCGGAAUGAGUAGCGAGAAUUAUGUGGGAAUCAUAAUGGCCGAAAAUCUAAGGUUUCUUGGGGAAGGUUCGUCCGCCCAAGGUAAGCCGGGAGCUAAGGCGAGGCCGCAAGGCGUAGUCGAUGCACAUACGGUAAAGAUUCCGUAGCCGCCGAACUUUAAGUCAGAGGGACACUUGCAGAUAGCGGAACCCAGCCGUUGGUUGAGCUGGGCGAAAGGGACUGAAAUUAGUAGGGAAGUCCGCGAUGCUGAAAGGCGAGAAAAGCUCUGAUGGAUACUAAGGCGCCCGUACCGCAAACCGACACAGGUAGAUGAGGAGAGAAUCCUAAGGCCAACGGGAGAAGGGUUGUUAAGGAACUCGGCAAAUUGACCCCGUAACUUCGGAAGAAGGGGAGCCCCCUACGGGGGGUCGCAGAGAAAUGACCCAAGCAACUGUUUACCAAAAACACAGGUCUAUGCUAAAUCGAAAGAUGACGUAUAUGGGCUGACGCCUGCCCGGUGCCGGAAGGUUAAGAGGAGAUGUCAGGCAACGAAGCAUUGAAUUUAAGCCCCGGUAAACGGCGGCCGUAACUAUAACGGUCCUAAGGUAGCGAAAUUCCUUGUCAGGUAAGUUCUGACCCGCACGAAUGGCGUAAUGAUUUGGGCACUGUCUCAACAGCCCGCCCGGCGAAAUUGUAGUACUGGUGAAGAUGCCAGUUACCCGCAACUAGACGGAAAGACCCCAUGGAGCUUUACUGCAGCUUAAUACUGAAAUUCGGUAGUACAUGUACAGGAUAGGUGGGAGACUGAGAAAUACAGGCGUCAGCUUGUAUGGAGUCGCUGUUGGGAUACCACUCUUGUACUGCUGGGUUUCUAACCUGCGGCCGUGAAUCCGGUCGGGGGACACUGUUAGGCGGGCAGUUUGACUGGGGCGGUCGCCUCCCAAAAGGUAACGGAGGCGCUCAAAGGUUCGUUCAGCACGGACGGAAAUCGUGCAAUGAGUGUAAACGCAUAAACGAGCCUAACUGCGACACCGACGGGUGGAGCAGUAACGAAAGUUGGAGUUAGUGAUCCGGUGGUAUGUGAGUGGAAAUGCCA
This 2346-nucleotide ribosomal RNA is filed under the name human gut metagenome. RNAcentral's name for it is "bacterial LSU rRNA". It matches the Rfam family "Bacterial large subunit ribosomal RNA", at positions 14 to 2444 of the family's 2925-position model. The record is from RNAcentral.